This 274-nucleotide ribosomal RNA is filed under the name Pseudopedinella elastica. RNAcentral describes it as "partial Bacterial small subunit ribosomal RNA". It matches the Rfam family "Bacterial small subunit ribosomal RNA", at positions 1054 to 1329 of the family's 1533-position model. The record is from RNAcentral. Lineage: Eukaryota; Dictyochophyceae; Pedinellales.
GUCAGCUCGUGUCGUGAGAUGUUGGGUUAAGUCCCGCAACGAGCGCAACCCUUGUCCUUAGUUGCCAGCAUUAGGUUGGGCACUCUAAGGAGACUGCCGGUGACAAACCGGAGGAAGGUGGGGACGACGUCAAGUCAUCAUGGCCCUUACGACCAGGGCUACACACGUGCUACAAUGGUAGGUACAGAGGGCAGCUACACAGCGAUGUGAUGCGAAUCUCAAAAAGCCUAUCGUAGUCCAGAUUGGAGUCUGCAACUCGACUCCAUGAAGUAGG